UAAUACGGAGGGUGCAAGCGUUAAUCGGAAUUACUGGGCGUAAAGGGUGCGUAGGUGGUUAGUUAAGUUAUCUGUAAAAUCCCCGGGCUUAACCUGGGCAGGUCAGAUAAGACUGAUUAACUCGAGUAUGGGAGAGGGUAGUGGAAUUUCCGGUGUAGCGGUGAAAUGCGUAGAGAUCGGAAGGAACACCAGUGGCGAAGGCGGCUACCUGGCCUAAUACUGACACUGAGGCACGAAAGCGUGGGGAGCAAACAGG
Molecule: ribosomal RNA, 256 nt
Filed under: uncultured bacterium
Lineage: Bacteria
Description: partial 16S ribosomal RNA
Rfam family: Bacterial small subunit ribosomal RNA
Source: RNAcentral